AGCGCCUCUGUAGGAGGCCGCAAGAGGGUGGAGGAUGUCUCCUUAUCAGUUUUAUUGGCGAGUUUGAGAGUUCUGAGACUUCGUUUCAGUGGGUUUGGCCAGAGAGAAAAGGCGUCGCUGCUCAGAGACCAAGUUGGUGCUCCUUUGAUAGUGCACUAAGAAAUCUUCAAUCCGAGUCCCCGCCAGAGACAUUUUGUGUGAAGGCAAGCCCGGAACGUUGCAUUUCUGGGCGUCCAAUGAAUGUUGUGCUUUCUUUUCGCACAGAAACUUGAGCGAAGCCAUUUUUACAAAGAAAAUGCGUGAAGCAGAGAAUUAGAGCGAGUUGGGGCCGAUUUUACAGAUUCGGGCUUUUUUCCUGGCGCGAUGAAGGGACAGUUCAGGGAAUGGGGAACUUGGCGGCGGCGAUGGGACGACGGGACGGUGUUGGGGACGCCCUGGGGGUGGCCCGUGAUGGCACACAGCUCUACUCGACAAAUCCUGCCACCUCCAAGUCCCGGGGUGCUGAUCUGCACCAGCACGUGGGGCAGCAGUACUUCCCAACAGUGCGGAGAAGAGCACAUGCCCCACUGGGCGAUGAGAGCAGACAGACUCUUGGCUUCUCAACGCCAGACACGGUCGGAGAGCUUUCCUUGUCCUAUUAGAAAAGUUCAUGAGGAAGCUGUGAAUAGGAUCAGUCCAGAGAAGUAAAACUCUUUUAUUUUCACUGUC
Non-coding RNA from Odocoileus virginianus texanus, 708 nucleotides. The record is from RefSeq and is a predicted model, not a curated record. NCBI's taxonomy places the organism in Eukaryota, Metazoa, Chordata, Mammalia, Artiodactyla, Cervidae.